Molecule: ribosomal RNA, 488 nt
Filed under: uncultured bacterium
Lineage: Bacteria
Description: partial 16S ribosomal RNA
Rfam family: Bacterial small subunit ribosomal RNA
Source: RNAcentral
GACGAACGCUGGCGGCGUGCUUAACACAUGCAAGUCGAACGGAAAGGCCCUGCUUUUGUGGGGUGCUCGAGUGGCGAACGGGUGAGUAACACGUGAGUAACCUGCCCUUGACUUUGGGAUAACUUCAGGAAACUGGGGCUAAUACCGGAUAGGAGCUCCUGCUGCAUGGUGGGGGUUGGAAAGUUUCGGCGGUUGGGGAUGGACUCGCGGCUUAUCAGCUUGUUGGUGGGGUAGUGGCUUACCAAGGCUUUGACGGGUAGCCGGCCUGAGAGGGUGACCGGCCACACGGGAACGGAGACACGGGCGAGAGGCCUAAGGGAGGCAGCAGGAGGGAAGCUGGGGAAAAGGGCGGAAGCCUGACGGAGGAACGCGGAGUGAGUGAAGAAGGCCGUAGGAGCGGAAAAAUAGGUGAGUAGGGAAGAACAAAUGGGGAAGGAAAUAUGCACGGAGGGACGGUAACUAAUAAGAAAGCAACGGCUAACUACGUG